RNA transcript from Sapajus apella (tufted capuchin), 9010 nucleotides. It is a transcript of the gene named tetratricopeptide repeat protein 33-like, with no coding region annotated. The record is from RefSeq and is a predicted model, not a curated record. The transcript is spliced from 2 exons. Lineage: Eukaryota; Metazoa; Chordata; Mammalia; Primates; Cebidae.
UCACCAUGUUGGCCAGGCGGGUCUCCAUCUCUUGCCCUCGUGAUCUGCCCACCUCAGCCUCCCAAAGUGCUGGGAUUACAGGCGUGAGCCACCACACCCAGCCUAUACACAGUAUCUAAAUUUAUUCUUUGUAACAACCCUAUACAGUAGAGAUACUGCUUCACGUAUUACAACCAGAAAAUUUGGAGAGGUUAAAGAAUUUGCCUAUAGCCACCCAGUAAGGAAGUGGAGCCAGGGUUCAAACGCUGGUCUCAUUCUCAGCCCUGGUGGACACUGGCUUUCAGAGCUGUAACUUGAAUUUUGGUGCUCAGAACCAGCUGCACAAAAGCUCAGCAAAUGGCUUUGUGAUUUAUUAUGAAACUCAAAGAAAUAAAGAACAACCCAGCAGCUUCUUAACUUUAAUUUUCCUUGCUAAUGACAGUUUCCAGCUGAAGAAAUCCUUGCUCUGUCAACAUGUAAAUAUAACUUUUUUUUUCAAUGUCUGUUUCUGGGACAGAGCCUCCCAGGAGGCCUUGCACUGUGCUGCAUCUGGUCCCUGGAGUUUUACAGCCUCACUACAAACACAAAACAGAGUGGUGAACACAAGCAAUCCUGAGUUGCAUAAAUGCACUGGAUGCCCAUGCUAGACUAGGAAAGUUCUUCCUAUUCAGGAGAAACAGGCCAGGGGAGGCCAAGGGGAAUAGGAGAGGUUCAUGCGUAGGUAGGAUUUAGGACCAGAGGAGAAGAAUUGCAAGGAAGAACUGGAAGUAUACAGUUGAGUCUGGGAAGAGCUCACAUUGAGAAGUGGCAACACAUACAGGUGGAAAAGUAGGUUGGAGCCAAAUUGCUGUGGACUUUUAAGUGCCAGAAGAAGGAGUUGGAAGCUGGGAGACCAGGCAGGAAGCAGUUAUGCUUCAGGGGAGAGAGAGAGCAAGGGUCUGUCCCAAAGUGGGAGCACAGGUAAGAAAAGAGUGAGAGGCAUUUUGAAGGAAGAAGGCUUCUCUGUCUCCUGUGCUCAGGAGCCCUGCCCUCUGCAAGGCAGUGGGACUGGUAGUGCUGAUUUAACUGAUCUGCCAGUGGAUGCAUUGGGCCUCACUGAUGACACGGCACCCUUCUUGGAGGGGAGUGGGACUCUGGCCCCCCUACCUCCGUGUUCAACUGCCCACAUCACUCAACCUUUCCUGUCCACCCUCAUCUGCAAAAACAGCAUGAGAAAACUGCUUCCUAAGUUUAUUGUGAGGUUGAAUAAGGAAGAUGCAAAGCACAAGGCCUGGCGCUUGUAAUGACUCAGCAGAUGGGAACGACCAGCGUGAAUAUUCUGCACCGUUGGUCAGCUAAGACCUGCUAUUGAGAGUGGCUAUUCUCCUCUUUCUCUGUGAAACGUUAGACACUGGCAGACAACUGAAGGUGAAAUCAAGCAAGUUUGAAGUGUGGUCUCUCUCUGGGGCUCCUUAUCAGGUAAGUUGGACAUAAGCAAACUUCCUAACAAAAGAGCCAUAAGUUGUUUGAUUCUGAUGGCGAAGCAUGACUUCAGAGUUUCUUAUUCUAUAAAUUGUACAGACAGACUUUCCUUCCUUCUUUGUGUUUAUACUAUGAUAUCUUGGGGCCAAGCUAUAGCGGAGCCCCUGAAUGGGAAUUUAGGAUGCUUUUGGACCCCUUCCAUAGAGGUCAAGUCCUGGGAAUACUGGAAGGGUCUUCACACAAGAGCUCCCUUGUCCCAUUCCCUUAUGUCCUGGACUUAGAAAGAGAGGAGGAACUAACAUUUAACUACCUCUAUACAUGCCGCACCUGUGCUGUGGAUUUGACACAUGUCAGGUUACGUAACCCUCACACCAGCCCCAUGAGAUAGGGGUUGUUACCCGCAUUGUUAUAAAUGAGGAAACAGCCUUGGUUGAAGGGUCUUGCCCAAACUCACACAUCUGGCCAUCAUUGCAACCAAAAUUCUGUCUCUUGUGCCUCUGGCUGAAGCCCCUUAUUUCCUGCAUACACUCCUCCCAGGGCUCCUGAGGCCGUGUGGUAAGCCAGCUGCUGCUGUUACUAUGAGUUUCCUUUUUCAAUGUUUUUGUUUGUUUGUUUGUUUGUUUUAAGAGACGAGGCCUCGAUGCGUUGCCCCGGCUGGCUGGAGCGCCGUGGCUGUUCACAGGCACAAUUGUAGCUUACUGCGGACUCAAACUCCUAGGCUCAAGCAAUCUUCUUGUCUCAGCCUCUCGAGUGGCAGGGACUACAGGUGUGCUCCGCCAUGCCUGGCCUGUUACCAUGACGUUCCAGUUCAGCAAAUUUUUUGUUACAGGGUGAUUGAGAGGUUUGUAGUUCCAUAAUGGUGACUUGCUAAAAUGAUUACCUGUAACUAUAUAACUGGAAAUAAAUUUAAACAAGUGCAAACUCUAAUCAGCCCCAAAUAACAUCUUAAUAGCAAGUAGAGGCCAGAUUAAAUGGAAGCAAAGCCAUAGGACAGAGUACAGAAAGGCGUGGUGACAGGAGUUUCUUGUCUGUCUCUAAGGAAGUAGGAUGGGAUGGAGAGUCAAUUCAAUUCAGACAGAAACUGAAGAUCAAACAACAGGACAUUUUAGCUUCCAUUUUAACUGUGUAUUUUACAGUUGGAUUUCAAAGAAGAUAAAUAAAUUGUAUUUGCACCUAUCAUCUUUUCAAAUAUCUUUUGCCGGUGAAGUCAUUCAAUAGAUUGAGUGUCCUUGUGGUCAAGACCUUACACAUGUCAUGUGUGGAAGAGGAGAGACAGCACCCCGCGGCAGAAGGUCUCACAAUCUGAGAGAGGAGAAAUGGGAGGAAGGAGCUGUAGAAGAAAGACAAAAUACAGACCCAGUAACGUGUCCGAGAGUGGGAGCCCUGACAGCUGUGGGGGUGUUCCAUGACAGCAAUGAUGUUCCAUGGCUGGCAGCCCGAUCAAGCGGAGACUCAAAGGGCAUCUGUGGCUUGGAACAGGCCUGGGUCCAGAUCUGGCCCUUAACUCUCAAGUUUCAGAAACUCCAUGUUGUAAUCAGCCCACACCACGUUGAGCCGGCCUCAAGGAAUGGACUCUGGCCAACCAAACUCCCACAGUAGACGGAUGGGAAAACCAGCAUGCGAGUUGAAGUAAUGUACCACCAGAGACACACCUUUCUAACUACUAUUCAGAAAAACUGAAUUAGCAUUUAGAAAAUUGCUUGUUAACCAGGAGUCAGGGUAAAAGUCUUCAGGGGAGUGUGGCUCAGAUUGUGGUAGAGUCUGGAACGUCUUUACCAUUCCCUGACACCCCCGGGGAGACACUAGCUAGAUUCUUACUCUUCACCUCUCUUCUUCUAGGCUCCUUACAGACUCAUGCCUAUCCACUUUAAUUCUCAUCAAAUAACGUGACUUACUACAAGUUACCUUGUCAUUACUUUUUGUAAUUUAAUCUUCUAAUAAACUUUGGGUUAUCUAAUCUUGAUGUAGCAAACCAUGAUAUCCUCAGCCAUGCAUUUGCAAAAUCACCCCAAGGGUGGGUUGCAUCUGCAAGUGUUGAAUCUCAAUUAUAUUGUGAAGAUUCUUAUGGCUUCCCCUUCAAAUCCUGACACCCUUUGACCUUGUCCCCAAAUUCCAGAGGUGCUGUUAUCCAUAUAGAUAACAAAUAUGGAUUCCAGAAGUGCUGGAAGAUUCUGGAAAAUAAGAGGAACUCAAUUCAUAUUGGUCUGAAACAGGUUCACAAAAAAGCUAGUCUCACAGCACUCCUCUUUCAUGUCUGAUGUAGCACAGGUAUAUGGACAGCUCAUCCCUGGAGCUCAUGGUAACAGAGUUCCUUCUAGCCUGCUUCUGUUGUAGUUAGACUGGGUGGUUUAAACAACAAAUAUUUAUUUCUCACAGUCCUGGAAGCUAAAAAAAUCCAACAUCAAGAUACCAGCAGAUUCUGUUUUGGUGAGGGCUCUCUUCUUGGCUUGCAGACAGCCACCUCCUGACUAUGUCCUCAUGUGGUGGGGAGAGUGAGCUCUGGUCACUUCCUCUUAAGGACAAUAACCCAGUAAUGGAGGCCCCACCUUCAUGCUCUCAUUUAAAUUUGCCAGAGGCCCCGCCUCCUAAUAAAUACCAUCACACUCGGGGAUUAGGGCUUCAGUAUAUGAACGGCAGGGGCACAUUCAGUCCAUAGCAAAUGCCCACCCAGUUCUGCUCUACCAGAUAUUUUCUAUUAAGUGGGGAAAAUAUGGAUAGUUUUCAGUACACAUACAACUGUUUUGGUUUUGGGGGCCCAAACAAAUGGUGAAACAGAAAGUUUGUUUUCUAACCAGCUUAUUAAAUGAGUUUCAAGUACAGGGUAAAGAAAAUUAAUGUAACUAAAUCUUGGGACAUGAUUUUACUGAGGACUGUCCCGGGUCUUUUGAGGCUGCAAUUAGAGACGAGACCAGACCUUUCCAUUCCUCAUCUGCUCUGCUGGACUCCAGAGCGCUGCCUUUCUCCAGAAAGGAAAAUUAAAAACACAAAUUCUCAAGUGGGUUGAUAGUAAUUCAGCCCAGCAAAUUUUACUUUCCAUUAAAAGUCACCAGCUGUCAUGUGCUUAGCUUUAAAUGGAAAUAACUUGCUCUCAAAGAACAUUUUUCAGUUGAUGUCAUUUGUGAGUUUUAUUUUCUCCUAAUGAAAAAUGGAUUUGCAUUAGUGCAACUUUGGUGACAGGAAAUCCCUGGAUGGAGGCCUGAGCUGGUGAUGUGCCCCUGCCCUGGGGAAAGCUAAUUACCAGCCAGCUGGAAGAUUGACGCUGUGGUCAGGAGGGGCCUUGGGGGAACAGAGGGGAGGAGUGGUGAUAAUGGUCUGUCUUCUUCGCAGUGAGAGUCCCUGUGGUGCUUCUUCCCUUAAAAAAAAAAAAAGAAAAAGAAACAUUAAAAAUGCUUUUAAGUGUUGAGAUUUUGGAGAGGCAGUGAAUAUUUUAACGUGCUGAAUGUUUUUUAGGGAGGCAGCCCUCCUGAGCUGCUAAUACUCCUGUGCUCAGAGCCUGUCACAUCUGAGGCCUCAUCCCUACAGAGCUCUGGGCGGAAGAAGCCUCUCUGUGGCCCUCCGCUGUGUUCUGGUGCCUCCCAGAAUCUCUUGUCGGUGGCAAUUGGAAUGAUCUCUUCAUGACCCUCAAGAACAAAACAAAGAGAAUCUCUAGCCUGAAGCUCCUUGAAGGCUGAACUAGUCCCUUAUGGGGUCCUGACUGUGGCACCUCCCGGGAGAGCCAGGACACUUAGGAGCCCCCUGCAGUGGGCCUGGCACACAGAGGAGGCAGGAGGGAAAUGCCUAGAACCCUCAGCUUUCCCUCCUGGGAGCCCCUGGACAGGGCGGGCAGAGCAGACUCUUCAAGAGUCAUUCCAGCAGGGUCCUGACCCACUGAAAAGAAUGAACGGAGAGACCAGAGACACAGGGAGCUAGUGAAACCCGGAAACAGAAAGGGAGAUGCCAGCAGCUGCGGCAUUCACAGGCUCCAGACUGAAAGCUGGCAGUGUAGUUAAAACCGUGUCCUUAAGUGUGCUCUCUUGCCUCACUGGUCCCCUACAUACAUGCACACACAUGCACAUGCACACAUGGGCAUCACACACCCACCUCUGGGGCAACAUCCGUGAAUAUAGCAGCACUCAAACCUGGGGCUAUACCCAAGGGCCAUCCCAGCCUAGGCAAAGCCUCCCUCCACCCUGUCUCCGUGCUCACAGCAAGGGCUUAGAAGUGUCCAAGAAUUUUUGAAUAAUGUUCUUGACAGACACCAAAGCUUUUAACUCCUCCAGCGCAUGGAGAGCUGGGGCUGCCCCCAGGGAAGGCUCCCCUGGCAGCUCCUGUCUGAGCAGCUGGGGCCAGCUCCAGGAACACUAAAUUCUGGCUGCAUUUCCAGCCAAGGCCCGGUUACUUUAGAAUCCCUCUCCUCCCCCCUUGUCUUUUCAAGCAGGAGCCAGCCAAGGUAUUCGUCAUGUUUCCGUGCUACCCUGCUGCUUGAUUUAUGCACACGCAGGACUGGGAAGAAGAUGCCAGAGGGGGAUGAAGGCUAGCCCCAAGGGUGAGAGGACAUGGAGUGCUGGACCUUCCUGGCACCCCAGGGGCCACUGAAAGGGUCCCUGGUUUUUGGAUCAAUUCUGUUCAGCUCAAGGUCGGGAUCACAUGGGCUCCACAGCCCCGGGGAGCAGAGGAAUGGAGAUAGGGCGCACUCCAGCUCUCUCGCUCUUGCUGUCUUUUUUGUGUCUCACACUGUGAGAUCUUGGCCAUAAAAGGAGUGAAGCUUCACUUGCCCUCUCACUGGGCUUCUCCUAAAAGGGCUUUCCGAAAAAUUUCCAGCCUUCUCCUUCGGGACACUGGAUGUGGUCUCUUUGGCCAAAGAGAAAACAAGUAACAGAUGAAGCCCUUGCAGAUGAGGAGGCCAAAACCGAGAUGUUAAUCACCUCAAAAUAUGCGUGUUGCUCUCUCCAGUGCCUCGCUUGGCUCUCCUCAGAGGAUCUUUGAUUGGGGAUUUUCCCCCUGGGGGUGGGGGAUUUGCUGUUAACAUUUGGGAACGUGUUCGAGGCUCCAAGUUGCAAUGACAAGACAAUUGUCAUUCAGUGUCUAACAUGCCUGUUGUGGGGACUCUGAACGGCUGAAAUAUUGACUGCAGCUCUUGGUUAAACUCAUACUGCUACAACACUCCCAUAAAAGCUCAAGAUGCUGUCAUCUGAGAUGAAUAAAAAUGCCUCUUUUUAUUCCACUGCAUAUGAAAACAUGAGAUCAUUGGAAUAUAUUUAGAGUGAGAUUUGGCAGCCUAUACAUGUUUACAAUUCUUGGACUCAAAGCUCUAAUGUGAAUCGGAGACACUCUUUUUCCUUCUUGCCUUCCUUUCUUUCUCUAAGAAGGUGAAUGCUGAUUCCAAGAUUCAUAAUUCCUUUUCUUGAUAUUACCCAAAGUUCACCUUGCUAAGAGACUAAUGACAUCCACAGUUUCAAUGGCCAGCCAGAGAGCCCGAGCCUUGAUGCGUUAAUGCAAUGAUUCAACCACUGAUGGGGCUCCUCACCAUCCAUCACUCAAGGCAAAGCCUCCACUGGGCUUGAACAGACUAUCCAGAAGUACUGCCUUUUCCUCAGGUCUUUGAAUCAUGACCGGGUCUGAUUCUACUGGAUAGAGGUCUACAAUGCCUUAGGGUCAUUGACUCUUGUUAUCGCAUAGAUGUUCGUUCCUUUCUGAAGGAAAGCAUGGACUCCCUUCUCCAGAAGGAAGGCAGGAACAGCAUGGAAUCAACACAGAGGCUGCCUGUGCACCUCAUCUCUAGGGGGCUGGUCCUCCAUCCUGACUGCACAUACAAUCAACAGGACAGCUUUAAAAACACUGAUUUUCUGGGAUUUGUGGUCCUGGAGAAGGGACUGGCGGAGGAGAAAGAUUAAGAGUUGGCUUUGCCCGCUUCUGUGGACUGUCCAGAUGCCCCAGAGUGGGCCAACCCCGUUUCUUAGGAAACCAGGCAUCCAGGGCAGGCAGAAUGUCUUCCUUUGGGUGGAAGAAGAAAUUGGCAAGAAGGUCUCAAAGGUCACUUCCCAGCAGUUUGAAGCUGAAGCUGCUGAUGAGAAGGAUGCAGUUGACAAUGACGAAGGGAACUGGCUUCAUGCCAUUAAACGUAGGAAAGAAAUUCUUCUUGAAGGCUGUGCUGGGAAACGUAAACAACUGAAGGAUGAAGAAGCCAGUUUGGCUGAAAAUAAAAGAUACCGGUAGGCAAUUCAGAAGUGAGAUAAAGUACGACAGUUAACCCCAAAUGAUGCUACCCUAUACGAGAUGAAAUCACAGAUGCUAAUGUCUCUGCAUGAAAUGUUCCCAGCAGUGCAUGCAGCAGAAAUAACCGUGCAGUGAAAUCCACAUUCAUGGGAGUCUUGGCAAACUUUGGGACGUGCUCAACUUGGAUUAGGAGAGAUAAUCCUGGCAGUUCAAGUAGCCCUUCACAUCUCUCCAGUGAACCCUGAAAUAUGGAAAGAAGACCUCUCCUGGGCAAGAACACCCCAGCAGCAGCAGAAGGUAGCACAGAGGAUUAAAAAAAAAAAAAAGCGAAGCACCAGCUGACGUAACACACUUUUCACCCAAGUCAAUUCCAGACUAUGACUUUGAAAGUGAUGAGAUUGUUGCUGUUUGUGCGGCUAUUGCUGAGAAAAAGAAUACAGUUUCCGCAAAUAAAACAAUGGUUACCGUGUCCGCUCUGGGGCCGUAGAGACUGUAACUGAAGAGGAAGAUGGUGCUACACCACCAGGUGGUCUGUAUUUAUCAGAGCCCCAUGAAGCAGCGUGCAAAAGGUUAUCUGAAUCCGUCUUUUUGAUGGCCACCUGAAGUUUUGACAGAGACAUUUACUCUGGAGAUAGAUAGCAGAACUCCUGGUUGUAAAGUAAGUUUUUCAGAUGAGGCACACAAAAACUAAAAUGGCAGGAUUAUUGUAUAGUGUUCGGAAUAUGCUUUAAUAAGUUAUGAUUUAUAUUUCUCAAGGUUAAAAUUCUGAGUAAAAUUGUUUUUGAUUAAUAAACAAUUUAACCUGAAUAUGUAAAUGAACACAUUUUAAAGACAAAACUUGAAAAGAAUAGUGAAUAACUUGGCCAGUGUUAUUGAAAUGCUGUCUCAACUUUUGUUUUAUGAUAAAGGGUGUGAUUUCCCUCCCUCUGAGAAAUAUACUGCUCGUUAUUUACUCUCUUUUUCUUGCUUUAUGAGAGUAAGUCUGUCAGAAAGCUUGAAUAUUUUUGACAUUCAUUUUGAUUCUACGUUGUCAUUUGGCUAUAUGUGGAAUCUUUGAAAGUUUGGCUGGAAAUGCACACAGAUGUGUACAUUCUGAACAUUUUCUGACGUUUAUCUUAAUUCUGAUUUGUGUUCCUGUUUUGCCUUUGAAGUUAUAACAAUGAUAGAUAGUUGUCUCCUUCAGUAUUUGUUAGAAGUGUGAAGUUUUGAUAAAUAUGAGAAUGAUGGUUUUAUUUUUUUUUUUUUUUAUGUAGAAACUGGUCUACGUAUGAAAAUGUGCAUCCUGCAAAGUCAGGUGUCAAGAUUUGAGUAGGAAUCUAUAUGACUUGAAUCUCCCCUAUUUCCUGAAUAAAAGUGACAAGUUUCAGUAUUUAUA